UCNNNNNNNNNNNNNNNNNNNNGACGAAAAAUGAAUACCAAGUCUCAAGAGUGAACACGUAAUUCAUUACGAAGUUUAAUUCAUUGAGCAUCAAACUUUUAAAUUGAAGAGUUUGAUCAUGGCUCAGAUUGAACGCUGGCGGCAGGCCUAACACAUGCAAGUCGAACGGUAACAGGAAGCAGCUUGCUGCUUUGCUGACGAGUGGCGGACGGGUGAGUAAUGUCUGGGAAACUGCCUGAUGGAGGGGGAUAACUACUGGAAACGGUGGCUAAUACCGCAUAACGUCGCAAGACCAAAGAGGGGGACCUUCGGGCCUCUUGCCAUCAGAUGUGCCCAGAUGGGAUUAGCUUGUUGGUGAGGUAACGGCUCACCAAGGCGACGAUCCCUAGCUGGUCUGAGAGGAUGACCAGCCACACUGGAACUGAGACACGGUCCAGACUCCUACGGGAGGCAGCAGUGGGGAAUAUUGCACAAUGGGCGCAAGCCUGAUGCAGCCAUGCCGCGUGUAUGAAGAAGGCCUUCGGGUUGUAAAGUACUUUCAGCGGGGAGGAAGGUGUUGUGGUUAAUAACCGCAGCAAUUGACGUUACCCGCAGAAGAAGCACCGGCUAACUCCGUGCCAGCAGCCGCGGUAAUACGGAGGGUGCAAGCGUUAAUCGGAAUUACUGGGCGUAAAGCGCACGCAGGCGGUCUGUCAAGUCGGAUGUGAAAUCCCCGGGCUCAACCUGGGAACUGCAUUCGAAACUGGCAGGCUUGAGUCUUGUAGAGGGGGGUAGAAUUCCAGGUGUAGCGGUGAAAUGCGUAGAGAUCUGGAGGAAUACCGGUGGCGAAGGCGGCCCCCUGGACAAAGACUGACGCUCAGGUGCGAAAGCGUGGGGAGCAAACAGGAUUAGAU
RNAcentral lists this ribosomal RNA (893 nucleotides) under Salmonella enterica subsp. enterica serovar Paratyphi A. Its description in RNAcentral is "bacterial SSU rRNA". The stretch from base 101 to 893 matches the Rfam family "Bacterial small subunit ribosomal RNA", at positions 1 to 783 of the family's 1533-position model. Lineage: Bacteria; Pseudomonadati; Pseudomonadota; Gammaproteobacteria; Enterobacterales; Enterobacteriaceae. The record is from RNAcentral.